Molecule: long non-coding RNA, 216 nt
Organism: Hibiscus syriacus
Lineage: Eukaryota; Viridiplantae; Streptophyta; Magnoliopsida; Malvales; Malvaceae
Exons: 3
Source: RefSeq, a predicted model, not a curated record
CGAGGGCCAAGAGUGUGCACGUAUGCGAGCUGAACCAGUCGCCAUGGGAUGUGAUUCCUUCCACUCAAGAACCAUACCCAUCGUAUCUUCAUCACCGGUUUGAACCUGAAGAUAUCUUUAAUGGAAAUGGGAGCUUAGGCGAUUCUAUUGGCGCUGUCGAGAGCGUAGCGUCGAUGAUGGACAAUGAAGAUAAAUCGAUUAUGAAAGUCGAACGCG